RNAcentral lists this transfer RNA (31 nucleotides) under Drosophila cardini. RNAcentral describes it as "partial tRNA-Asn". Lineage: Eukaryota; Metazoa; Arthropoda; Insecta; Diptera; Drosophilidae. The record is from RNAcentral.
UAAUUGAAGCCAAAAAGAGGCUUUUCACUGG